GCAGCCCGGGGCCUUGCUUUCUUGCAUACAUCAGAGAAGCAAGUGAUUUAUAGAGAUUUUAAGGCCUCAAACAUAUUGCUUGAUGGGUCUUACACAGCCAAGAUUUCAGAUUUUGGUUUGGCGAAAUUGGGGCCUUCUGCUAGUCAAUCUCAUGUGACAACAAGGGUGAUGGGCACCUAUGGUUAUGCAGCUCCAGAGUAUGUUGCGACAGAG
Molecule: unclassified non-coding RNA, 213 nt
Filed under: Hevea brasiliensis (rubber tree)
Lineage: Eukaryota; Viridiplantae; Streptophyta; Magnoliopsida; Malpighiales; Euphorbiaceae
Source: RNAcentral